UGGGGAAUAUUGGACAAUGGGGGCAACCCUGAUCCAGCCAUGCCGCGUGAGUGAUGAAGGCCUUCGGGUUGUAAAGCUCUUUUGGCGGGGACGAUGAUGACGGUACCCGCAGAAUAAGCCCCGGCUAACUUCGUGCCAGCAGCCGCGGUAAGACGAAGGGGGCUAGCGUUGUUCGGAAUUACUGGGCGUAAAGCGAGUGUAGGUGGUUGUCAUAGUCAGGCGUGAAAGCCUUGAGCUCAACUCAAGAAAUGCGCUUGAUACUGGGCAGCUAGAGGACCGGAGAGGAUAGUGGAAUUCCCAGUGUAGUGGUGAAAUACGUAGAGAUUGGGAAGAACACCAGUGGCGAAGGCGGCUAUCUGGACGGUUUCUGACACUAAGACUCGAAAGCGUGGGGAGCAAACAGG
This 404-nucleotide ribosomal RNA is filed under the name uncultured bacterium. RNAcentral describes it as "bacterial SSU rRNA". It matches the Rfam family "Bacterial small subunit ribosomal RNA", at positions 355 to 776 of the family's 1533-position model. The record is from RNAcentral. RNAcentral also lists the same sequence under 1 other name.